AUGACCCCUGCGGAUUUGACCCUACCUACACCCGGAGCCAAUCCCCUAGCAGUCCUGCCACCACGCCGUAGAACAGGAGCUCGUGUGGAACCUUGGAUUUCUGGCGUAACAGCGGUGGAAGGUAUCAAAAUAUUAUGGUUGCAUAACAUAGUAUAUACGCUAAGGUCGGCCAAAAUAUGGACACCCGAAGGGCCCGUCACGCACAAUCCUAUCCUAUCCGAGCCUGUCAUUGUUGCACUUCAGACAACCGUCCGUAGCAUCAUAAGGAGCACCUCCCUUUCGAGGUACCCAAAUGGAACGGUCUUUACUUGA
This 312-nucleotide ribosomal RNA is filed under the name Triticum aestivum (bread wheat). RNAcentral describes it as "partial small subunit ribosomal RNA". The record is from RNAcentral. Lineage: Eukaryota; Viridiplantae; Streptophyta; Magnoliopsida; Poales; Poaceae.